GGCGGAGGGGCGGGGGUCACUCAGCCCGGCUUGCGAGAGAGCGUAGGCCAGGCCAUGGGACCCCACCAGUGCAUG
Myotis lucifugus (little brown bat) is the source of this 75-nucleotide non-coding RNA. The record is from Rfam. Lineage: Eukaryota; Metazoa; Chordata; Mammalia; Chiroptera; Vespertilionidae.